GACGAACGCUGGCGGCGUGCUUAACACAUGCAAGUCGAGCGGUAAGGCCCUUCGGGGGUACACGAGCGGCGAACGGGUGAGUAACACGUGGGUGACCUGCCUCUAGCUCUGGGAUAAGCCUGGGAAACUGGGUCUAAUACCGGAUAUGGCUCCACGGCGCAUGUUGUGGGGUGGAAAGCCUCGUGUGGCUAGAGAUGGGCCCGCGGCCUAUCAGCUUGUUGGUGGGGUGAUGGCCUACCAAGGCGACGACGGGUAGCCGGCCUGAGAGGGCGACCGGCCACACUGGGACUGAGACACGGCCCAGACUCCUACGGGAGGCAGCAGUGGGGAAUCUUGCGCAAUGGGCGAAAGCCUGACGCAGCGACGCCGCGUGAGGGAUGACGGCCU
This 387-nucleotide ribosomal RNA is filed under the name uncultured bacterium. RNAcentral's name for it is "bacterial SSU rRNA". It matches the Rfam family "Bacterial small subunit ribosomal RNA", at positions 28 to 417 of the family's 1533-position model. The record is from RNAcentral.